AUGGGCCUCUGGAACUACGGCCGCAAAGGCAGGCACGACCGCGAGGCCGGCUCCUCGUCGGGAUGCCGCCGCGGCUCGGUGAAGAAGGAGGAGCCCGCCUCGCCAUCGCCACCACGCCGGGCCCCCGCGCCGCCCGCCUUCUCCAUCGCGCACACGUCCGCCGGCGAGCGCGACCGGCAUUACGUCCGAGCGUCGGUGUGCCGCCGUUAUUGGGAGAUGAGGACGCCGCUCCCCUGGAGCGACGCCCAUCUCCCCAAUAACUGGCACCUCUCCGCCGACCGGGUCCCCAUCCCGCCGGUCCCGACGAGCGGCCGUGCGCGCGACGAGGAGAUCGAGCGCCGCCGCCGCCUCCUCCCCGACGACCUAUUCUACGACGCCAGGUACGCCCCCGACUCCCCGCUGUGGGACACCUGGUUUCGUGACGAGCAUGACACCAGGCGCGCCUCCUUCUUCGCCGGCACCUCGACGGGGCCGCGGCGGCCACGGGAGCGCGCCCAGGAGCGCGGGCGUAGGCGGGUCCACGGCGUCACGCCCACGCCGUCGCCGUCUCCGUCGCCCCCUCCACCUCCUCGCAUGACAGACGAGGAGGAGGCCCGUCUCCUGCAGCGUGUCAUGGACGACUCCAUGUACACGCACGAUGAGCGGCAGUGGGACGGCCUGGAGGAGGCCAUGGCCCUCUCUGCUGCCGCCGCCGUGUUCCAGCCGCUGCUGGGCCAGGGGUGGGGCUGGUCCUGCACUGCUCCGGAGAUGGCCGCCGGCGUGGGCGUGAACUGGUGCCCCACUCCGCCGCGGUCACCGGAGCGGGAGGCCUCGCCACGGGAGGAGGUGGUGCAGGCACCUCCGGGCGUCCAGCCCGCCCCCGUCCACCACGCACCUCCGGCCCACCUCUAG
This 891-nucleotide ribosomal RNA is filed under the name Triticum aestivum (bread wheat). Its description in RNAcentral is "partial small subunit ribosomal RNA". Lineage: Eukaryota; Viridiplantae; Streptophyta; Magnoliopsida; Poales; Poaceae. The record is from RNAcentral.